GAUGAACGCUUGCGGGAGGCCUAACACAUGCAAGCCGAGCGGUAUUGUUUCUUCGGAAAUGAGAGAGCGGCGUACGGGUGCGGAACACGUGUGCAACCUGCCUUUAUCUGGGGGAUAGCCUUUCGAAAGGAAGAUUAAUACUCCAUAAUAUAUUGAACGGCAUCGUUUAAUAUUGAAAGCUCCGGCGGAUAGAGAUGGGCACGCGCAAGAUUAGCUAGUUGGUGAGGUAACGGCUCACCAAGGCGAUGAUCUUUAGGGGGCCUGAGAGGGUGAUCUCCCACACUGGUACUGAGACACGGACCAGACUCCUACGGGAGGCAGCAGUGAGGAAUAUUGGUCAAUGGGUGCAAGCCUGAACCAGCCAUCCCGCGUGAAGGACGACUGCCCUAUGGGUUGUAAACUUCUUUUGUAUAGGGAUAAACCUACCCUCGUGAGGGUAGCUGAAGGUACUAUACGAAUAAGCACCGGCUAACUCCGUGCCAGCAGCCGCGGUAAUACGGAGGGUGCAAGCGUUAUCCGGAUUUAUUGGGUUUAAAGGGUCCGUAGGCGGACUUAUAAGUCAGUGGUGAAAGCCUGUCGCUUAACGAUAGAACUGCCAUUGAUACUGUAAGUCUUGAGUAUAUUUGAGGUAGCUGGAAUAAGUAGUGUAGCGGUGAAAUGCAUAGAUAUUACUUAGAACACCAAUUGCGAAGGCAGGUUACCAAGAUAUAACUGACGCUGAGGGACGAUAGCGUGGGGAGCGAACAGGAUUAGAUACCCUGGUAGUCCACGCCGUAAACGAUGCUAACUCGUUUUUGGGCUUUAGGGUUCAGAGACCAAGCGAAAGUGAUAAGUUAGCCACCUGGGGAGUACGCUCGCAAGGGUGAAACUCAAAGGAAUUGACGGGGGCCCGCACAAGCGGUGGAUUAUGUGGUUUAAUUCGAUGAUACGCGAGGAACCUUACCAAGACUUAAAUGGGAAUUGACAGCUUUAGAAAUAGAGCUUUCUUCGGACAAUUUUCAAGGUGCUGCAUGGUUGUCGUCAGCUCGUGCCGCGAGGUGUUAGGUUAAGUCCUGCAACGAGCGCAACCCCUGUCACUAGUUGCCAUCAUUCAGUUGGGGACUCUAGUGAGACUGCCUACGCAAGUAGAGAGGAAGGUGGGGAUGACGUCAAAUCAUCACGGCCCUUACGUCUUGGGCCACACACGUAAUACAAUGGCCGGUACAGAGGGCAGCUACACAGCGAUGUGAUGCAAAUCUCGAAAGCCGGUCUCAGUUCGGAUUGGAGUCUGCAACUCGACUCUAUGAAGCUGGAAUCGCUAGUAAUCGCGCAUCAGCCAUGGCGCGGUGAAUACGUUCCCGGGCCU
This 1345-nucleotide ribosomal RNA is filed under the name uncultured bacterium. Its description in RNAcentral is "bacterial SSU rRNA". It matches the Rfam family "Bacterial small subunit ribosomal RNA", at positions 28 to 1381 of the family's 1533-position model. The record is from RNAcentral.